RNAcentral lists this ribosomal RNA (290 nucleotides) under uncultured bacterium. Its description in RNAcentral is "partial 16S ribosomal RNA". It matches the Rfam family "Bacterial small subunit ribosomal RNA", at positions 29 to 337 of the family's 1533-position model. The record is from RNAcentral.
AACGAACGCUGGCGGCAGGCCUAACACAUGCAAGUCGAACGCCGUAGCAAUACGGAGUGGCAGACGGGUGAGUAACGCGUGGGAACAUACCCUUCGGUUCGGAAUAACUCAGGGAAACUUGUGCUAAUACCGGAUACGUCUGAGGUAAAACUUAGGAGAAAGAUUUAUCGCCGGAGGAUUGGCCCGCGUCUGAUUAGCUUGUUGGUGAGGUAAUGGCUCACCAAGGCGACGAUCAGUAGCUGGUCUGAGAGGAUGAUCAGCCACAUUGGGACUGAGACACGGCCCAAACU